CCUACGGGAGGCAGCAGUAGGGAAUUUUCGGCAAUGGAGGGAACCCUGACCGAGCAACGCCGCGUGAAGGAAGAAGGAAUUCGGAUUGUAAACUCCUUUUGUUAGAGAAGAUAAUGACGGUAUCUAACGAAUAAGCACCGGCUAACUCCGUGCCAGCAGCCGCGGUAAUACGGAGGGUGCAAGCGUUACUCGGAAUCACUGGGCGUAAAGAGCGCGUAGGCGGGAUAGCAAGUCAGAUGUGAAAUCCUAUGGCUUAACCAUAGAACUGCAUUUGAAACUGUUAUUCUAGAGUAUGGGAGAGGUAGGUGGAAUUCUUGGUGUAGGGGUAAAAUCCGUAGAGAUCAAGAGGAAUACUCAUUGCGAAGGCGACCUGCUAGAACAUAACUGACGCUGAUGCGCGAAAGCGUGGGGAGCAAACAGGAUUAGAUACCCCUGUAGUC
RNAcentral lists this ribosomal RNA (440 nucleotides) under uncultured bacterium. RNAcentral's name for it is "partial 16S ribosomal RNA". It matches the Rfam family "Bacterial small subunit ribosomal RNA", at positions 338 to 795 of the family's 1533-position model. The record is from RNAcentral.